AAUGGGGUUUCUGCCAUUGUAUGUCACUCAUCAUUUCAAUAGUUUAGCCACAAGAGCAAAUCUAAGUCUUUGCGUGCAUCUGCCUACAUAACAGUUGUUUUUCUGUACAGGAUUUUGUCAGAAUAUAUUUGUUAUUUUUCUUUGAUGAUUAACUGGUAUAAUUGCUAAACUAAGUUUACCUUUCUAGAUUUCCUGUGUUGGU
This 202-nucleotide unclassified non-coding RNA is filed under the name Hevea brasiliensis (rubber tree). The record is from RNAcentral. Lineage: Eukaryota; Viridiplantae; Streptophyta; Magnoliopsida; Malpighiales; Euphorbiaceae.